This 443-nucleotide ribosomal RNA is filed under the name uncultured bacterium. RNAcentral describes it as "bacterial SSU rRNA". It matches the Rfam family "Bacterial small subunit ribosomal RNA", at positions 30 to 482 of the family's 1533-position model. The record is from RNAcentral.
AUUGAACGCUGGCGGCAUGCUUUACACAUGCAAGUCGAACGGCAGCACAGGGAGCUUGCUCCCGGGUGGCGAGUGGCGCACGGGUGAGUAAUACAUCGGAACGUGUCCUGUUGUGGGGGAUAACUGCUCGAAAGGGUGGCUAAUACCGCAUGAGACCUGAGGGUGAAAGCGGGGGAUCGCAAGACCUCGCGCAAUUGGAGCGGCCGAUGCCCGAUUAGCUAGUUGGUGGGGUAAAGGCUCACCAAGGCGACGAUCGGUAGCUGGUCUGAGAGGACGACCAGCCACACUGGGACUGAGACACGGCCCAGACUCCUACGGGAGGCAGCAGUGGGGAAUUUUGGACAAUGGGGGGCAACCCUGAUCCAGCCAUGCCGCGUGCAGGAUGAAGGCCUUCGGGUUGUAAACUUCUUUUAUUAAGGACGAAGAAAGUAGACGGUACUUAA